AAACAGUACCUGCCCCUUAGGUGUGCUAGGGAAUAAAUGAAAUGCCUGGGACAUCAUCGUUAAGUGGCAUCUGAUGCAUAAGCAGUGCCCUAGGAAUGGGGUUGCCUGCCUUGGUCUCUAAAGGAUGGGUUCAAAAGGCAAGAGCAGCACACAAGAAGAUAGCUUCAAGCAGGAGAUAAAGCUUGGCCCAGGGCCCAAAGGGGAUACGACCCUUCAGGUUGGCCCUGACCUCUGGGUUGGAUUACCAGUGACACAAUGAACAUUUCAUUAUGAGGCCAUCCCUUGAGGUAGUUGCAUUGCAACAGCUCUCCCUACCCAGUGCUGCAUUUCCAAUGCUUUCUCUGUUCAGGCUGCUGGGUGACAUUUCUAUGUCUCCCCUUCAACGGUGAAAUAUUUCAGUGGUUGUCCAUCACCUAUGGGAGUCUGACAUGGCAUAAUCAGGCCACUGGGGCAUUGCUAGUUGUGCUGUCCCUGAUAUUCACCGUGGUAGGCAGUUUCUGAAAUGGCUCCCAGUGAUCUCCAACUCCUGAAAUUCACACUCUGUGUAAUCCCCUCCCUUUGAGUGUGGGCUAGACCUGGUGGCCAAAGUGAUAGGAUUUCACUUCUGAUGUUAGGCUAUGAAAGGCUGUGACCGCUCUCUCUGCCUCUUCUCUCUCACUUGAAGCAAACUGACAUGCUGAAAGCUGCCCUAUGGAGAGGCUCAUGUGGCAAGGAACAGAGGGUGGCUUCUGGCCAACACCCAGUGAGGAACUCAGGCCCUCAGUCAAACAGCCUGCAAGGAACUGAACCCUGCCAAUAACCCUGGGUUGAAAGCUUCCCUUUGGAGAAGAACUGAGGGCUGUCUCUGGUCAAUAGCACUGAGGAACUGAAUCCAGCAAACAAUUAUGUGAAGAAACUUGGA
This 901-nucleotide long non-coding RNA is filed under the name Homo sapiens (human). RNAcentral's name for it is "HSALNT0291316". The record is from RNAcentral. Lineage: Eukaryota; Metazoa; Chordata; Mammalia; Primates; Hominidae.